Cyprinus carpio carpio is the source of this 1888-nucleotide long non-coding RNA. The record is from Ensembl. Lineage: Eukaryota; Metazoa; Chordata; Actinopteri; Cypriniformes; Cyprinidae.
AAAAGAAUGGUCAAAAAUCUACAUCUAGUGUCUGAGCUGAUGUGAGCUGAAGCGUUCAACAAAGUUAUUGUUAAUGUUAAUAUAUUAUUGUUAUUAUUUAUUUUUGUAAUUUUUUGUCCAUUUCCUUACAGGUUUCUACCAUUCCCAACCCUCAUUUACCACAGACUGAGAUUUAUUUAUUAAUUUAGAUGAUUAUGUGUGUGAAAGAUUCAAAUUAUUUGCGUUAAAUGAUAUAAUUUUAGAAAAGACAUUUGUCUUUGCAGCAAGAUUCCUCAAGAACACAAUAAACUUGGUUUACUUAUUUAGUCAUACCUUAUUAUUAUUAUUAUUAUUUUUUUCAGUGCGAUCUGGCAACUCUGCACUGGUCUAGCAAUCCGCCAGCUGGAAUGUUUUGGAGUCUCCAAAAGCAGCAAUUCAGCCCUCAGAAAAAAGUAUAAAGAGAAAGUGAAUGAUCAUUUCAGACUUUACUUACAGUAACCAGAUGUCAGUCUUCUGCUCUAUCACCAUGGAAACCAACUCAUCCAUAAGUCUGGUCACUGUGGUGGUAUGUGCUCAAGGCUCUCUGGGCUUAAAGAAACACAGAAGCAAGAAAUCAGAAAGCGGGGGUGACUGGAUGCCCAGGAAUGAGGACAGCCUCUGGAAAACCUGCGGGAAAUGGAUGCACGGUUCCAUUAGCCUCUGCACGGACCCUAGACCCAAAGCAAUGACGGUCUAGAGCUGGAUAUGAUGACAGCAGUGGUAAAGCUGUGAUUGAGGGGCUCCUGCAGCUAAUGAUCCAAUGAAUUAUUAUUGCCGUGUGAUAGAACCCUUUAGGCCUAGAAUGUGAAAUGACCAUUUAACACUUCAGUAGUGAGGAAUUGAAUUGUAAAUGUCAUUUUAAAAUAGGUCAGAAUACUUUGAAAUCACUGCAUUGCAAAAAUAUUGUAUCUCUUUAUCUCCAAAUGUUGAUAUGUCAAAACAUCCUUUCAACAAAAUAAAUGUAUAUAAACUAGAUAAACUCAACUUUUAAUCAGACUUCAAUAGUGAGAAAUGUAAUUGUAUAUAUAAUUUUAAAACAGGUCAAAAUAUACUCAAAAGCACUGCAGAUUUUUUAUAUUUUUUUAUAUUGUAUAGUCUUUAUAAUGUUGAUAUGUUUAAACAUCCUUGAAAUAUGUUCCAAACAUAGGUUCAAGAGGAGCCUAAUCAUUCAGUUCUAUCAAUCAUCAUUACAAUCGUAUAUAAGCAGCAGUCAUUGCACCGUCCCAGCAUCCCUCCCUCUCCCCUUCUUCUCUUCUAUUUCUUUCAUGUCUCCUUCACAUCGUACAAUCAUAGCAGGGUUCUAACUCAGAGCUCAAGCCGAGCCUCGGGUUCAAGCCUCCUUUGAGGACAGCAAGCCAGUCGGUUUACCAUUAUCUAGCAGGACUUAAUGGGCAGGGGAACUUGUGAAAUAAAUUAACUUUUUAAACUUUUAGUCAAUCAAAACUUCACUAACUUGUGUUAGAUUUGUUUAAAAAAAAAUGCCAAUGGGGUAAGAACAUUGAAACUCUGUAUAAAAGUGUUGGACUAACGUGUUUGAAUGUUGUGUUUGCGUAUUUUUUGUAGUCUCUUGUGCAUGACACUUUCUAUAAAACAAGCAGCACUCAAGUUAAAAGUAGUUUAACUGCCCCUUAUACUACCAAAUAAAGUAAUUUCAAGGACAUGAAAAUCUGAAAAAUAAGAGUGAUUGGUUUCAGUUACCUGAAAGGGCAGUGUACAGCAUUGCCAUGGAUGACUGCGAAGUAUCUUACCACUGGAUACCACUAUCGACCAAUAAGAAUCAAAUAUAUUAGAAAGCGGCAUAAUAGCUUAGUUUUUAAAUAUUUUUUUUCCACUGGAAAACAAGAACAAAAACACUCCAUAAUUAGGAAAA